GACGAACGCUGGCGGCGUGCUUAACACAUGCAAGUCGAACGAGGUAGCAAUACCUAGUGGCAGACGGGUGAGUAACGCGUGGUCAACCUACCGUUGAGUGGGGGAUAACUAGCCGAAAGGUUAGCUAAUACCGCAUACGUCUCCGAGGGGCAUCCCUUGGCGAUAAAAGGAGCAAUCCGCUCGAUGACGGGACCGCGUCCCAUUAGCUAGAUGGUGGGGUAACGGCCUACCAU
This 233-nucleotide ribosomal RNA is filed under the name uncultured bacterium. RNAcentral describes it as "partial 16S ribosomal RNA". It matches the Rfam family "Bacterial small subunit ribosomal RNA", at positions 28 to 271 of the family's 1533-position model. The record is from RNAcentral.